GGCUAAUUAAGUCAAAUGUGAAAUCCCCGAGCUUAACUUGGGAAUUGCAUUCGAUACUGGUUAGCUAGAGUAUGGGAGAGGAUGGUAGAAUUCCAGGUGUAGCGGUGAAAUGCGUAGAGAUCUGGAGGAAUACCGAUGGCGAAGGCAGCCAUCUGGCCUAAUACUGACACUGAGGUGCGAAAGCAUGGGGAGCAAACAGGAUUAGAUACCCUGGUAGUCCAUGCCGGAAACGAUGUCUACUAGCCGUUGGGGCCUUUGAGGCUUUAGUGGCGCAGCUAACGCGAUAAGUAGACCGCCUGGGGAGUACGGUCGCAAGACUAAAACUCAAAUGAAUUGACGGGGGCCCGCACAAGCGGUGGAGCAUGUGGUUUAAUUCGAUGCAACGCGAAGAACCUUACCUGGCCUUGACAUACAGAGAACUUUCCAGAGAUGGAUUGGUGCCUUCGGGAACUCUGAUACAGGUGCUGCAUGGCUGUCGUCAGCUCGUGUCGUGAGAUGUUGGGUUAAGUCCCGCAACGAGCGCAACCCUUUUCCUUACUUGCCAGCAUUUCGGAUGGGAACUUUAAGGAUACUGCCAGUGACAAACUGGAGGAAGGCGGGGACGACGUCAAGUCAUCAUGGCCCUUACGGCCAGGGCUACACACGUGCUACAAUGGUCGGUACAAAGGGUUGCUACACAGCGAUGUGAUGCUAAUCUCAAAAAGCCGAUCGUAGUCCGGAUUGGAGUCUGCAACUCGACUCCAUGAAGUCG
This 751-nucleotide ribosomal RNA is filed under the name uncultured bacterium. RNAcentral's name for it is "bacterial SSU rRNA". It matches the Rfam family "Bacterial small subunit ribosomal RNA", at positions 577 to 1328 of the family's 1533-position model. The record is from RNAcentral.